UUGAACGCUGGCGGCAUGCCUUACACAUGCAAGUCGAACGGUAGAGGGGCAACCCUUGAGAGUGGCGAACGGGUGAGUAAUAUAUCGGAACGUGCCCAGUCGUGGGGGAUAACGCAGCGAAAGCUGCGCUAAUACCGCAUACGAUCUAUGGAUGAAAGCGGGGGAUCGCAAGACCUCGCGCGAUUGGAGCGGCCGAUAUCAGAUUAGGUAGUUGGUGGGUAAAAGCCCA
Molecule: ribosomal RNA, 229 nt
Filed under: uncultured bacterium
Lineage: Bacteria
Description: partial 16S ribosomal RNA
Rfam family: Bacterial small subunit ribosomal RNA
Source: RNAcentral